AAUGUAAAUAAGACAUUGAUUUAUGUCCCUAAUAUAGUUUUAAAAUGCUGACUUUAAGAAGUUAAAUUUAUUCUAGAAUAUUAUGUAGUUCCUAAAUCAAUAUAUUUGAGUCUUUUAGGAAAAAGUUAAGUAUGGAUCUUAUAUUAGUUUACCAUUAAUACUAUUUCUGUAACAAAGUUAGAAGCUCAAACCACCACCAAUUUAUUACCUUACAGUUCUGUAGUCAGAAGUCCAACAUGGUUCUCAAUGGCCUAAAAUCAAGGUGUCCACAGGAUUGUGUUCCUUUCUAGAGAGGUAAGGGAAGAAUCUGAUUUUUUUUUUUUUUUUGCUUAUUCAGGUUGUUGGACAAAUUGAGUCCCUUGCUCUUGUAGCUGUUCUCCCUGUUUCUUUGCUGGCUGUCAGCUAAGAGCUGUUUUCAGCUUCUAGAGGCCACUCACAUUUCCUUGGUUAUGGCCCUCUUCGUCUCCAAAGCCAGCAAUGGUGGAUUGAGACCCUUUCAUCCUUGUAAAUCUUUCUUUCUUCUUCUUCCAUUGCUGUAUCUCUCCAAUUACAGCCUUUUAAGAAUCCAUUGGUUAGACAGAAUCUCCCCCGCUCAAGGUUCAUAACUUUUAUUUACAUCUGCAAAGUUGCUUUUGCGGUAAUAAUGUAACAUAUUCACAGCUUACAGGGAUUGGGGAAUGGAUAUAUUUAGGAGCCAUUAUUCUACCUAUCUCAGAUCUCAAUUGGGGCCAUGCAGUAUAUCCAGUGUUUCAUACCACUAUUCUCAAUACUUUAUGUUAGAAUAAUAAUAUUGAUAAUAGGUAAAUUUUGUUGGUUAUAUAAUAUGCUCAAGGUACUUUUCUGAGCCCUUUUACUAAAUUCACUCAUUUAAUCCUCAGAACUACCCUAGGAGGCAAACACUGUUAUUGUUCCCACUCACAGAUGAGGAAACAGGUACUGAAAGCUGAAGUAACUUGUCGAAUUUCUCACAGCCAUUAAAUGGUGAAAUGGAGAUCUGAACCUAGGUAGUCUGGUUCCAGAGCCUGUGCAUGCUCUGAAGCUCAACAUAAUAAAAAUAAUUUCUACAUACCUGGAUUUAACUAAACAUGUGUUGAUGAUACAGUGGCUAUGAAUUCAGGUUCUGACAUCACCUUGUGGAUUCAAAUUCUACCUACCCAUUACUGAAUGACCCUGGGCAAGUUACUUGACCUCUCUGAGACUUAACAAUAAACUGAACCAAUAAUAAUAGUUGAGAAUUAAACAAAUACUAUAUGUAAGGUACUUAGAGCACUGCCUCUACAUACAGUCAUUCAUAACAAUAGAGAUACGUUUUGAGAAGUGCGUCAUUAGGCUAUUUUGUUGUGUGAACAUCGUAGAGUGUACUUACACAAACCUAGAUGAUGUAGUCUACUACAUACCUAGGCUACAUGGGAUAACCUUUUGCUCCUAGGCUACAAACCCGCACAGCGUGUUACUGUACUGAGUACUAUAGGUAGUUGUAACACAGUGGUAAGUAUUUGUGCAUCUAACCAUGUCUAAACAUAGAAAAAUUGCAGUAAAAAUACAGUAUUAUAAUCUUAGGGACCACUGUUGUGUAUGUGGGCCAUCAUUGACUGAAACAUCAUUAUGCAGUGCAAGCAAUUGCUAGCUGUAAUUAUUGAUGACAAUUCAACUUUUAAAAACAGUAUUUAUUAUAAAAAGAAAUGUUUCCUUUAGAGAUCAGUCUUUCCUUGUAAAAUAAAAACUGAAAAUUAAAAUUUUUACUUUAAUACACUACAGUGCUAUCUCCUUUCUCAGACUCUGAUUUCUCCUCACUCUAGGCUAGCAUCUAUCGUUCUAACCAUGGUACCUUCAGUGUUAUCUGAUCAUGCAUUCUAAAUACUUUGUCCAGAUCCUAGUAUCUGCAGGCUAAUAUUCAAACUCUCUAGAAGGGCACCAGGACUUUUCACACAUUCCAGAGACUCUCUCUUGCCAUUCCUCUGCUGGGUAUUUACACAGCCAUCAAUUCUAACUUUUCACUGCUCUCGUUUGCUAUUAUUAUUCUUUGAGGGAGACUUAUGUGUGUGGAGGGGACUCUGGGGAGUAUGGACAAUGUCAUAUCCUGGGUCCCCUUCCAUAAUGCCUGCUAAUACCACUCCAAAUUCACUCUCUCUUUUAAUAAUCUUUCCUGCACUUGCCUUAAUUCAAACCCUCAUUAUCCUUGCACUUUAAGCCAUCUCUUAACAAAUUGGUGGCCUCCAGCCUCACUGCCCUUCAGGCUUACUAUCCUUGCUUGCUGGAAUGAUCUCUAAACUACAAAACUCUAUAUGUUACUCUCCUUCUUCAAACCAUUCAGUGUCCCCUCUGCCAGGUCCUACAAAUAUUACUCUUUUUUCUGUGCCUCUUGGUACCAGUUACAUGCUUCUACCGUAACUUAAAAGGUGUCACACAGUUGUUUAUUUAAAUACAUAUCUUCCCUUCUAAAUCAGGAGCUCAUGGAUAAUAGAGCCAUAAGAGAUGGUUUUGCUUUAAUGAAUUUAUAUUAUUUCAUGAUAACAUAAAUUAUUGUAUUAUUGUAUCAUCUGUCUCUUGUCACUAAUCUGUGAACUCUUUAAGGGGAGACUAAUUGUUUUAUUCAUUUCUCUUUUUCCUCUAUGCCCGUGGCAUAGGAGGUACUUAGUAAUUGGUCAAUGAAUGAUUUGGGAAAAAUAAUCCAGAAUAUAUACAAUUUUUUAGUCUGCUUCAGUCUAAAUAAAUAUAUGAAACUAUGUAUUUGGAAUAUAUAUGAUUUCAUUAUGAUUAUUAUAUACAAUUCAAUUAUGAUUUUAGAAGAAGCAUAAUUCCUGUACUCUGGAGCCAGAGUGCCUGAGUUUGAAUUCUGGCUCUGCCACUUACAAGCUUGGGGAAGUUUUCUUGGGAAAGCUAAUCAAAAUUGUGUUUGUUGUUUGUCUGUAGAAGAAGAAUGAUAAUAGUAACUGUCUUUUAAGUUAAUAGAACUAAAUGAAUAAUAUUUAUAACGUAUCUAUGACUUUAGACUCUAUAAUAGUGUCUACCACCUAGUAAAUGUUCUACAAGUGCUUGUUAAAUAAAAACAUAAUAGUUUUUAUUCUCAUUGCUUUUGAUGAUAGGUAAUGGUCUUGAAAUACAAUGAUUUAGAAAAAAUCGUCCCGUACUUUCUAGUGGUGUUUUGAACUAGUUUUUUUACUCAAUGAUUUUUAAUAUUGUACAUUCUAGAAUGAUCAUAUAUAUUCCUUCAACAUUUAGAGAGUACCUGUGUGUGAUCUCUCUCAGGAAACACUUACAUAUUUUCUCUUUGUAUUAUUUUUCUGUUGCCAUUAUAACAAAUUACCACAAACUUAGUUGCUUAAAACAACGUAAAUUUAUUAUAUUAUUAUUCUAUAGAUCAGAUGUCUGACAAUAAUCUCACCAACCUAAGAUCAAGUUGACAGCAGGGUAGCACUCUUUACUGGAGACUGCAGGCUAGAAUCUGUUUUCUUGCCUUUUCCCAUUUUGGAGGCUGUCCACAUUCAUUGGCUCUUGGCCCCCUUCUUCUACCUUCAAAGCCUGCAAUGUUGCAUCUCUCUAAUCAUUCUGGCAUAAUCACAAGUGUUUCUCUGACCACAGCCAGGAAUGGUUCUCUGCUUUUAAAGGAUUCUUGUGAUAAAAUUGGACCCACCUGGAUAAACCAUGUCAGUCUUCCCAUUUCAAGAACCUUAACUUGAUUACAUGUGCAAAAUUCCUUUCCCUAUGUAAAGUAAUUUAUUCAUAAGUUCUAUGGAUUGGAGUAUGGACUUCUUUGGAGGACUGUUAUUCUGCCUACCACACUCUUGUACUGUAAAUGAGUCACUGUGGAAAGGUAAUAGGUUGUAGCUUCUGAAAAUAAAGAUAAAUGUUAGCUAGAUUGUUAACAGUAGUGUCAGUAUCAUUUAUGACUCUACUGGUUGUUGAGAGCGAAGUUGGCUUAGUAGAAUGCUUAGGUACUGCAGGGCUCACUGAUUAUGUCUUUGUCUCCUAGGAUUUUUAUUCUACUAGAGAGGGAAGAAUACAUUCAUAUUUGUUGCAUAUCUGCCGUGUCCUAGGUACUCUACAAUGAACUACAGAUACAUUAAUCCCAUUUAAUUUCCACAAUAACUUUAUGAGGUGUGGUAGGAGGCCUUCUAAGAUGACCCAAUGAUCUCCAUCACAUAGCACUCACCCCCUUGUAUAAUCUCCCUCCUUUGAAUGUAAGCUUAACCCAGUGACUCUACCAAUGAACAGAGUAGGACAAUAGUGAUAGUAUAUCAUUUCUGAGAUUGGAUUCCAGAAAACUAUGACUUGUCUCUCACUUACACUGUCUGUCUCUUGCCCUCUUAUUUGCUUGCUUUGAUGAAGCAAGCUGCAGUGUGGUAAACUGCCUUUGAAAGAGACCCACAUGUCAAGAAACUGAGCAUCACCUGUGACCAACAGCCAGAAAGUAACUGAAGCCCCAAGACGAACAGCUUGUGCAAAACUAAAUUCUGCCUACAACAAGAGCAUGAAUUGAGACGCAGAUCCUUCCCUAGUUGAUCCUUGAAAUGCUUGCAGCUCUAUGGACACCUUGAUUGCAGCCUUGUGAGAAAUUCUGAACUAGAGGACCUCGUAUGCCUUACCCAUAGGUCUUACAAGAUAAUACGUGUUUUUCAAAAAAGUAAGUUUGGGGAUAAUUUCUUAUGCAGCAAUAGAUAAUGAAUAAUAAAGUAAAUACAGUUUUUUGCUGUUGACUUCAAAAAUGUUUAAAGAUUUUACUGUUAUAUAAUUGUACAUAUUUAUGGGGUACAUGUGAUAUUUUGAUACAUGCAUACAAUGUGUAAUGAUCAAACUGGGGUAAUUUGAAUAUCCAUCACCUCAAAUGUUAUUUAGUGGUAUUGGGAACAUUCCAAAUCUUGUAGGUAUUUUGAAAUAUACAAAAAGUUAAUUUUAUAUAUAAAUAUAUGUCAUAUAUUAUUAAUAUAUUAAUAAUAUAUGCCAUAUAUAUAUAUGUAUGUAUAAAUGCCAUAUAUAUUAAUUACAUGUAUGGCAUGUUUUCUUUUAUACAUUUAUCCACUGAUAAACACUUAGGUUCCUUCCUUACCUUGGCUAUUGUGAAUAGUGCUGCAAUAAACAUGGGAGUGUAGAUAAUCUCUUUGAUGCACUAGUUUUCUUUCUUUUGGAUGUAUACCUAGCAGUGAGAAUGCAGGAUCAUAUGGUAGAUAUAUUUUUAGUUUUUUGAGGAACUUUCAUACUGUUUUUUACAGUGGCUGUGCUUAUUUACAUUCCCACCAACAGUGUGUGAGUGUUCACAUCCUUGCCAGUAUUUAUUAUUUUUUGUCCUUUGAUAAUUUUAACUGGAGUGAAGUGAUAUAAUUGUGGUUUUGAUUUGCAUUUCCCUAAUGAUUAGUGAUGUUGGGUAUUUUUUUUAAUACCUGUUGGCCAUUUGUAUGUAUUCUUUUAUGAAGCAUCUAUUUAGAUCAUUUGUCCAUUUGUAAAUCAGAUUAUUUG
Molecule: long non-coding RNA, 5454 nt
Filed under: Homo sapiens (human)
Lineage: Eukaryota; Metazoa; Chordata; Mammalia; Primates; Hominidae
Description: non-protein coding lnc-ZFHX4-6:3
Source: RNAcentral